Lupinus angustifolius (narrow-leaved blue lupine) is the source of this 116-nucleotide small nucleolar RNA. It matches the Rfam family "Small nucleolar RNA Z278". From Rfam's summary of the family: snoZ278 is a C/D box small nucleolar RNA. Lineage: Eukaryota; Viridiplantae; Streptophyta; Magnoliopsida; Fabales; Fabaceae. The record is from Rfam.
GCCUGUGAUGAUUCAAUCCAACUAGUUUGAGGUGUAGUAGAGCUAAGCCCAUGUUUACAUGGAGAACCUACUUAGUGAAGCUGCAUUCACAUGAUAUCAAUGGAUCCUUCUGAGGC